CUGAAGUUGGAUUUCCAUGCGUUAGGCAAUGUGUACUUGUCCGAUUGGAUGUUUCAGGUUUAACUUCGCGAUUAAAAAGACACUUGUUGUCCUGAACAAAAUAGAUUGAGCCAGGUCUAUCCAGAGGAAGAAACAACCAGCAUUGGAAAAGCCCGAGACUCGCUGCUAGAUCCACGUGUUAAUUGCUGACACUACGAAUUACAAGAUGACUUCCACCCUCGGCCCAUUGCUGCUCAUUCUGAUGUGCACCAGCGUCCAGCUACACAGUGACUACACAGUGGGUGGCCAAUUGUGCGAGUCUGCGUGCGUGGAGUGGGAGUCAACAUACUACUGCUCCUACCUUGUGGAUGGCGUUCGCAAGAUGUCCAUCUGCACACCUGCCAAAACGGUUUAAGAUUAAAGGGAGGCAGGGUCCCCAGCAAUGUCAGCUAAAAUGAAAAGCAGAUAAAUGGCAGUGUGCAAUUUCUAUUUGGCAAAUCCCCAUUGUGUGUUGGCUUUUUUGCCUGUUCACCUUUGCAUUCUAUGCUGAAAAUGUAACCUUUAUCAGUAAUACUAGAAGCUUUGACCUUUCGUCACAAUCUGGAGGUGUGAUCUCUUUAUCUGUCACUUAUUAUUGUUAAAGCCACUGGCUAUGUUAUACUCUGAUAUUUGUAGCAAUGCUUUGUACCAACGUAGCUUAAAUAUAAGCAUAUGCAUCA
Long non-coding RNA from Callorhinchus milii (elephant shark), 698 nucleotides. RefSeq lists it as uncharacterized. The transcript has 2 exons. Lineage: Eukaryota; Metazoa; Chordata; Chondrichthyes; Chimaeriformes; Callorhinchidae. The record is from RefSeq and is a predicted model, not a curated record.